Long non-coding RNA from Agrilus planipennis (emerald ash borer), 937 nucleotides. RefSeq lists it as uncharacterized. The transcript is spliced from 8 exons. The record is from RefSeq and is a predicted model, not a curated record. Lineage: Eukaryota; Metazoa; Arthropoda; Insecta; Coleoptera; Buprestidae.
ACCGAAGCUCGCAAUGUGGCCACGAAAGAAAAGCUUAACAGCACGAGGUUUUCCUAGUUGAGUUGACCGGUUGAGAAAAAGUAAUACGUGUUGUUCUCUAGGUAUUUGAUAUACAGUUUUAUUAUUUAUUAACGCGAUUCUUCCGGUGUAAGAGUGCGUUUAUGUGAUUUAAAUUUUACAAACUUUGAAGUUAUUAUAAUCCAGUUAAAGCAAAGGUACCUAUUGAAGAUCUAAAACGUCUACUCAGUCUUCACUGCAUCGAAAUUAUAAAUGAGACUGAAGUGACCUUGGAAGAGCCAUCAAUGAACUUCAUACCAAGGAAAGUUAAAGUUGUUAUCUUCAAUCCAACCAACGCGACUUGGAUCCGAAUUUGCGAUGGGAUCAAUGCAGAAGGAUAUCGUGGAUUCAUGCGGCGUCCCGGUCAAGCUUUGCUGGAUUUAUAGAGUUGUUCGACCAUCAUAACGAGAUGUUGAAGAUCAGCUACAAAUUUAGUUUCAUUCGUGCUGGAAUAUUCUUAGCAAACGUUUGUUUAUGUCAUGGUCUCGCGAUUUAGUCCUUAAAGAAGAAAAUGUGGAAAUUGGAAAUCAUCACAUCCUUUUGAAGUUUUGAUAAUGAUAAAAUAUUUUAUUCUGGGAAAAAUGAGCGAAAUGAUCGAUAUUUUCUUCUGGAAAAUUCCAACAUGGAAGUUUCAGAUAUUCAAAUACGACGGUCAGGAAUGGAUCAUCUAUUAGUGGAAUGUUUAAAGAGAUGUAAGGUUGCGAUUAAAAUAUGGGGAGAUCUAACACAGUUUCAUUCGUGGUGUAAAAUUCUUAGCUAACGUUUGUUUAUGUCAUGGUACCAAGAUUUAGUCCUUAAAAUGCGGAAAUUUGAAAGCAUCACAUCCUUUUGAAGGAACGAUAAAAUAAUUUAUUCUGGGAAAAAUGAGCGAAAUGAUCUA